Molecule: ribosomal RNA, 425 nt
Filed under: uncultured bacterium
Lineage: Bacteria
Description: bacterial SSU rRNA
Rfam family: Bacterial small subunit ribosomal RNA
Source: RNAcentral
GUGGGGAAUAUUGGACAAUGGGCGCAAGCCUGAUCCAGCCAUGCCGCGUGAGUGAUGAAGGCCUUAGGGUUGUAAAGCUCUUUCACCGAUGAAGAUAAUGACGGUAGUCGGAGAAGAAGCCCCGGCUAACUUCGUGCCAGCAGCCGCGGUAAUACGAAGGGGGCUAGCGUUGUUCGGAUUUACUGGGCGUAAAGCGCACGUAGGCGGUUUGUUAAGUCAGAGGUGAAAUCCCGGAGCUAAACUCCGGAACUGCCUUUGAUACUGGCAAGCUAGAGUCCGGAAGAGGUAAGUUGAACUCCUAGUGUAGAGGUGGAAUUCGUAGAUAUUAGGAAGAACACCAGUGGCGAAGGCGGCUUACUGGUCCGGAACUGACGCUGAGGUGCGAAAGCGUGGGGAGCAAACAGGAUUAGAAACCCGUGUAGUCC